GAGGAUUCCCCUAGUAAACUGCGAGUGAAGCGGGAAAAGCUCAAAUUUGAAAUCUGGCAGUCCUCUGGCUGUCCGAGUUGUAAACUAGAGAAGUGUUACCCGCGUUGGACCGUGUACAAGUCUCCUGGAAUGGAGCGUCAUAGAGGGUGAGAAUCCCGUCUUUGACACGGACUACCAAGGCUUUGUGGUACGCUCUCAAAGAGUCGAGUUGUUUGGGAAUGCAGCUCAAAAUGGGUGGUAAAUGCCAUCUAAAGCUAAAUAUUGGCGAGAGACCGAUAGCGAACAAGUACCGUGAGGGAAAGAUGAAAAGAACUUUGGAAAGAGAGUUAAACAGUACGUGAAAUUGCUGAAAGGGAAACGCUUAAAGUCAGUCGCGUCGGCUUGGAAUCAACCUUGCUUUUGCUGGGUGUACUUCCUUGUCGAUGGGUCAACAUCAGUUUUGACCGGUGGAUAAAGUCAGUCGGAAUGUGGCUCCCUCGGGAGUGUUAUAGCCUUCUGUCGCAUGCAUCGGUUGGGACUGAGGACCGCAGCACGCCGUUAAGGCCUGGUUUCGACCAAGUUCGUGCUUAGGAUGUUGGCAUAAUGGCUUUAAUCGACCCGUCUUGAAACACGGACCAAGG
This 620-nucleotide ribosomal RNA is filed under the name Crepidotus nephrodes. RNAcentral describes it as "eukaryotic LSU rRNA". It matches the Rfam family "Eukaryotic large subunit ribosomal RNA", at positions 70 to 671 of the family's 3401-position model. The record is from RNAcentral. Lineage: Eukaryota; Fungi; Basidiomycota; Agaricomycetes; Agaricales; Crepidotaceae.